UGAUAUAAACUAACACACAAAUUAAACCCUCUUUUUUGAUAGUUGUAGUAUGGAUAAUUAGGGAUCGUUCUAGGCCGGGGAUUAGGAGGGACUGCUAAUCUACUCAAAUUAAACUCAGUUACACUUAACUAGACUCUUAUGACUCAAACUACUCAAAACUAUACAAAACAAACAAAUUGACUCAAAACUAACACUAAGGAUGACUUUGGACGAAAAUUGAACUAAAAAGACUCAAAACAAUGUGUAUGGACGAAUCCUAACUUAUCUUGACUCAAAAUACUAAAAAGAAACCAGUUUGGAUAUAUUCUAACUAAACGACAUGAAAUAUAAAGGGGGGAGUGGUUUUUGACGAAUUUAAAAUAAAAACAAACAGAUUUAAAGACUCUAAACUACUUUGGACAAAAUUGGGUGUUUUAAUAGGUGAAUGGCUAGCUAGAGGGUCCUUCAUGUUUGCAAUUAAACAGAGACAAUUAAAAUUAAACAUUGAAAACAAAAGAUAGAAUACACCUAGAAACGCUCCAACAAUCCAAAGGUCUUGAAUGGCAGGCACAGCUCCAAGCUUCUUCUUCUCCUUCCUUGCAAAGCUGCGGCAACCUUUGUAUUUUUAUGUAUGAAUUUCUCUCUAAAAACUCUCUUUCAAAACCACGGCAAGGGUGAGUAUUUAUAGGCUAGGGCACGGCACAAAGUUGUAGAGGAGAAUGACUAGGUGAGGCAGAUUCCUAGGGGGAAAGGGAUAGGGUGGUUCUGCACAAAUCUUCUAAAACCAGGAUUUUAGGUAUCCUAAUCUGAAAAUAAUUCCCCCUUACAGCUAGAAUCUAGGUAGAAUAGGAUUAGGAUAAGGUUAGGAUAAGAUAAGAUAAGGUUUGUUUGGAUAAUGUUAGAUAAGAUAAGGUUGGUUAAGAUAAUGUUCCUUCCUUUUAGCUGAUUCCUUAUCUUCCAAGUCUUGAAUUAAUUUCUCCAUCUCUUUAGCACAUUCCUAGCCUCUUUUGAUCUUCAAAAACGUCAUCCACCUUGCUUCAUACACAUGCUAUCCAUUCCAAGUGCAAAACUGCUCUAAAAUGCUCCAAAUUGCCUUUUCUUGCCACUUUUGCCAAUUGAACCUACAAACACAUGAAAAUAGCUUAAAUCACUAUAAUAAAUAGAAACUAACUCACUAAAUGCAAAGAAACAAGCUAACAAAGUAGCAUAAAUAUGCUCCUAUCUGAGACUGGUGAGGCGUCAGGGACGGUAGAGCCGAUGAAGAUGACGUAGA
Molecule: long non-coding RNA, 1252 nt
Filed under: Malus domestica (apple)
Lineage: Eukaryota; Viridiplantae; Streptophyta; Magnoliopsida; Rosales; Rosaceae
Description: long non-coding RNA (MDOM_LNC016462)
Source: RNAcentral